GGUACUUCAGGAGGUCAUUCGGGUGCGCAUACGCAGUCCAGAGACUUAGUGGUGUGCUACUAUCCAUGCUUUGAUCUACAGCACUCAUAGUCUUCUUCUUGUUAUGUUUAUUAUUUUUGUUUAUUUUAUUUCAUAUAAUAGCUAUAGUAGUUUCUAUAUUCUACUAGAUUGCUCGUGCAAUUAUGACACUAAGUUUUGAAAAAAUUUAGUGGAAGUUCACAAUUGUACCUAAUGUUAUUAUCACUUCG
This 248-nucleotide long non-coding RNA is filed under the name Nicotiana benthamiana. RNAcentral describes it as "long non-coding RNA (NBEN_LNC031870)". The record is from RNAcentral. Lineage: Eukaryota; Viridiplantae; Streptophyta; Magnoliopsida; Solanales; Solanaceae.